AGCAGCCGCGGUAAUUCCAGCUCCAAUAGCGUAUAUUAAAGUUGCUGCAGUUAAAAAGCUCGUAGUUGAAUUUCGGGACCAUCACGUCGGUCGUGCCUCGGUACGUACUGGCGUCGUUGGUUUCUCCCUUCUGACGAACCAUGAUGUCAUUUAUUUGGUGUCGUGGGGAAUCAGGACUGUUACUUUGAAAAAAUUAGAGUGUUUAAAGCAGGCUCACGCUUGAAUACAUUAGCAUGGAAUAAUGAAAUAGGACGUUUGAUUCUAUUUUGUUGGUUUCUAGGAUCGACGUAAUGAUUAAUAGGGAUAGUUGGGGGCAUUAGUAUUCAAUUGUCAGAGGUGAAAUUCUUGGAUUUAUUGAAGACUAACUACUGCGAAAGCAUUUGCCAAGGAUGUUUUCAUUAAUCAAGAACGAAAGUUAGGGGAUCGAAGACGAUCAGAUACCGUCGUAGUCUUAACCAUAAACUAUGCCGACUAGGGAUCGGGAUGAUGUUAAUUUUUAAUGACUCAUUCGGCGCCUUAC
This 520-nucleotide ribosomal RNA is filed under the name uncultured Glomeromycotina. RNAcentral describes it as "SSU rRNA". It matches the Rfam family "Eukaryotic small subunit ribosomal RNA", at positions 569 to 1091 of the family's 1831-position model. The record is from RNAcentral. Lineage: Eukaryota; Fungi; Glomeromycota.